GCUAUUAACAAGGAACAGAGAAGGGAACACAAUUCCAGCACCGGCCUUUUACAGCAAAAAGCUCGAGUGUGUUGUGACGGGUGAAACUGCACGGAGAAAGUUGCGUUUUGAGGUAAAAUUUAUCAGGGGGCAUUAUAGCAAAUAACCUAAAGUUACUACUAACUUAAUUUCUAGUAUUCUAUGACUAGCCCACCCAUUGGGGCACGGUGUGGAAUUCCCUUUCUUCUCUUGGCCGUUCUGUAAUUAACAGAAGUUGGAGGCGGUGUGGACGGUGUGAAGCUGUUCUUCUUCCCAUGGCUGCUGUUGCUGCUGUACGAAGAAUCCUCUGUGUCUGAUCC
This 338-nucleotide long non-coding RNA is filed under the name Glycine max (soybean). Its description in RNAcentral is "long non-coding RNA (GMAX_LNC001803)". Lineage: Eukaryota; Viridiplantae; Streptophyta; Magnoliopsida; Fabales; Fabaceae. The record is from RNAcentral.